GACGAACGCUGGCGGCGUGCUUAACACAUGCAAGUCGAACGGAAAGGCCCUGCUUUUGUGGGGUGCUCGAGUGGCGAACGGGUGAGUAACACGUGAGUAACCUGCCCUUGACUUUGGGAUAACUUCAGGAAACUGGGGCUAAUACCGGAUAGGAGCUCCUGCUGCACGGGGGGGGUUGGAAAGUUUCGGCGGUGGGGGAUGGACUCGCGGCUUAUCAGCUUGUUGGUGGGGUAGUGGCUUACCAAGGCUUUGACGGAUAGCCCGCCUGGGAGGGUGACCGGCCACCUGGGGCCUGCGGGACGCCCCAGUCUCCAACGGGAGGCAGCAGGGGGGAAUAUGGCACAAUGGGCGGAAGCCUGAUGCAGCAGCGCCGCGUGCGGGAUGACGGCCUUCGGGUUGUAAACCGCUUUCGCCUGUGACGAAGCGUGAGUGACGGUAAUGGGUAAAGAAGCACCGGCUAACUACGUG
Molecule: ribosomal RNA, 468 nt
Filed under: uncultured bacterium
Lineage: Bacteria
Description: partial 16S ribosomal RNA
Rfam family: Bacterial small subunit ribosomal RNA
Source: RNAcentral